GUGGUCGCUUCAGCAGCACAUAUACUAAAAUUGGAACGAUACAGAGAAGAUUAGCAUGGCCCCUGCACAAGGAUGACACGCAAAUUUGUGAAGUGUUCCAUAUUUUU
This 107-nucleotide small nuclear RNA is filed under the name Dasypus novemcinctus (nine-banded armadillo). The record is from RNAcentral. Lineage: Eukaryota; Metazoa; Chordata; Mammalia; Cingulata; Dasypodidae.